RNAcentral lists this ribosomal RNA (494 nucleotides) under uncultured bacterium. Its description in RNAcentral is "partial 16S ribosomal RNA". It matches the Rfam family "Bacterial small subunit ribosomal RNA", at positions 28 to 507 of the family's 1533-position model. The record is from RNAcentral.
GACGAACGCUGGCGGCGUGCUUAACACAUGCAAGUCGAACGGAAAGGCCUGCUUUCCCUUGUGGAUUGCGGGUACUCGAGUGGCGAACGGGUGAGUAACACGUGAGUGAUCUGCCCCCAACUUGGGUAUAAGCCUGGGAAACUGGGUCUAAUUCCCGAUAGGACUGCAGGGUGGUGCCUGUGGUGGAAAACGAUUUUCUAGUGGUUGGGGAUGAGCUCGCGGCCUAUCAGCUUGUUGGUGGGGUAAUGGCCUACCACGGCGGCGACGGGUAGCCGGCCUGGGAGGGUGGACGGCCACAUUGGGACUGAGAUACGGCCCAGACUCCUACGGGAGGCAGCAGUGGGGAAUAUUGCACAAUGGGCGGAAGCCUGAUGCAGCGACGCCGCGUGGGGGAUGACGGCCUUCGGGUUGUAAACUCCUUUCGACCGCGAGGAAGCCACCUGGUUGGAAGGGUGGUGACGGUAGUGGUAGAAGAAGCACCGGCUAACUACGUG